UCGUCCGCCCCAGUCUUCCUAGCUUGAGACCCGGGCCUACUAACUGUUCAGUUCUUUUACAUACACCUCGUUCUGAAUCAAGAGUACUGAUGGUCAGCGACUAAAACCUGCUCGCCAGAUUCACCCACAGAGCAAACUCUGCAGCCCCCCCGCCCCCACCCCCACCCCCAGGGAUAGUCAAGCCAAAGUUAGCCCUGACCAAGAGGAAGAAUAUUGACCCUAAAACGCUGCGUUGUAAGUAAAGCGUCCUUGUGCCACGACCACGCCCCUUCGGCUGGAUUCGACACCUCCAAAUAAAGAGGAAGCUCCAGAAAGUUGGCCAGCUUUCUACAGCUUUAUUUCCUUAGCCGCACAAGCAAAUAGUGCAGCUUAUGCGGUGCUUCCCUGGUUCCGUUAAAACGUAGCUCCGCUACAACCCUAAGUAGGCAACAUUCCUAUUUUUUAAUUAAGGAAACUGGUUCAGAGAUCAAAGGUCAUGCCUAAAGGCAAAUAACAAAUGGGAGUGCCAACACAUUAUUGUUAGUGGGAAAGUGUUAGGAAAAGCACUUUAUCCACUAGCGGUAUUAAUAACCAUGUACUGAGCACCCACGUCCUAACCACUAUCAAAAGAACUGGACACUCAUUCACUCUUUCGGCCUUCCUAAGAGCUCUACAAGGAAGGUGUUCUCAUUCCUGACGUACAGAUGAAGAAACCCAGGCUCAGAGGAGACUCUGGGAGCAAGGACCCAAGCACAGCCUGGUGCUCUUGGAGAAAGAAUAAAGCAGCUAUUGUUCAUACUCAGAGGUUGCUGAGGUGCCCUCCCCCGCUGGUCUGGAAUGAUCCACACUGCUCAAAAAGUCAACAGGAGGAAUGGCGGGCUGGCCAAAGAAGGAAGGAGAAAAAGAAAGUCCCCUUUACUCCUGAGGGCUAUGGCAUCAGAUCAGGGUGGAGUCCUGGGCACGUCUGCCUGAUUCCUACGCAACAGCCCUGCCUCCGUCCUCCGUGUCUCCGCUGCUGCACCUCCACUCUCACACCUCUCCCCACAAGCUGCUUAAGUGCCCCUCCUGGAGUGCAUGAGCAGGUCCCGCUGCAACCCAGCCUCCAGGCUUGCAGUGAGCCUGGCCGUGGGAGGGUCGGUCAGGAGAGUCAAUUUGUUGAAAACACCUCGGCCAAAGUAGUCCGCAAUCACAGAGAAGCUGUCGUUGGAGCACUUGAGCUGCAGGGGAAGAGGAGAGAAGAAUCAGAACCGUGGGUCUCCUGUCCUCAGUGAGGAGGAGAGAAGCAGCUAAUGCUCCUGUGAUUUGCUCGGCGAGUGGGGCAGUUAUCCACGCACUCACACCCACCUGGUGCUGGAACUGAUCGUGCAGAUCACGUUUCUGUUCCUGGGCCCGGAUCAUAUCCAUGACCUUCCGGUUUUCAGGGAGGCAGGUGGGGCAGUCGGCAUCACUUUCUGAGUAACUCUCAAAGCAGUGUUGGUGGAAGGAGUGGCCGCAGAGAAAGUGGACUGAGGGCAACUCCAAGGCACUGUUACAGAUGCUGCACUUGGUCUUCUGGAAGAUCUUCGGACUGCAGCAAGGGAGACCAGAAAGGAGUGGCCAAGAGUGAGGGCAGAGCCAAGAGCCAGGUGCAGAGAGAAGGUGGCUGGAGUCGAGGACAGAGGUCCCUGGAAGGGACUGCAAGGUUCUGCCCUGGUCACCAACAGGGAGUCAAACGAGGACACCCACCUUGGGCCUGCAUGAGUCUCAGCACGCCCCCUGCAAGGCCAACUAACGCUUUCAGUUUUCACAACUGCCACUAAAUUGUCCUUAUCUUUUUCUUUUUUUUUACUUGAAGUAUAGCUGACAUAGGUCAUGUUAGUUUCAGGUGUACAACCCUGUAACUGACGAGUCUGUAUGUUAUGCUGUGCCCACGAGUGUAGCUACCAUCUGUCACCACCCAGCACUAUGACCACACCACUGACCCUGCUCCCUAUGCUGCACCUUUCAUCCCUGAGACUAAGUCCAUAAUUGGGAGCUUAUCUGUCUUUCAGGUCUUUACUAAGAUGUCACCCUUCCAGUGAGGCCUUUUCUGUCCACCUUAUACACAGAACAUACACGCGCUCUGCACCCCACUCCCCUUCCCAAACUCAUUUUCUCCUUCGACCUCAUCACCAUCUAACAUAAUAUUUUGCUUUCUAAUGUAUGUUUCUUUCUACGUUGUAAGCUCCAUACAACAGGGCUUUUUGUCUGUGUUGUGAAGAAUAGUCCUUGGGCCAUAAAAGGGGCUCAGUAAAUAUUUGUGGGAUGAAAAAACUUCUCUAAUAAAUAUUUUACAAUGUUAAGGGCAGAUUAAAACUUAAAAGUAGGAGAUUAAUAUAUAGUAUAAAUAUUUCUAAAUUAUCCACUUUCUGUAUUUUCUAAAGCAAAGUUUUUUACUUCUGAAUGUCUUCCAACUACACCUUAGAUAUACGUUUAGGAAAAGUAAUACAUAGACUCCUACAGAAAGAAAAGUACCUGCCGCAACAUAACAUUCUCCAAAGUCCGAUAAAGAACGACCUAUGGAAUAAACCAUUCUUUGGCAAUUCCUCCAUUAAGACAGAUCUUUAAGAAUGAAAUGUUUGAACAUGCUCCCUCUAACCCUCUGCGAAAAGUAUUUAGUGACACCUGAUGAAGAACAAGGUCAUCCCCUGGACCUCCAUACGUAUCCAGUUGCCAAAGCCAAGUACCUCGCCUUGAGCUCCUGGAUCUCCUGGCGGAUGCGCGUGGUCUCCUCUCGGUACCGCCGCACCCGGAGCUCGUCCUGUGCAAUCUGCUGGCUCUGUUUCUGCAGUUUUUGGACCAGGUAAUCACGGAUGACAGACAGGGUGGCUGUGGAGUUGUGUGCCAGUGUCUGCACCACUGGGUCCAGAAGGAAAGGAGACAAUGAAGCCAGCCGCACCCCCUGGAUGGAAUGGAAGAGCCCCUGCCCCAGAGCUGUCGGCGGCCCGCACGCUCUCACCCCCGCCACCCCGGCCUCUCGAGUACCUAGUAGGGGUGGCAUGAGGUUCUUGUUCUCAAUGUGCUUCAGCACAGCUGCCACGUACUCCUUGCAGUCCUCCUCCUUCCGGGCGAAGUAGCUGAGUGCCUGCUCCCACAGGGAAGGCUCCUGCUCCCCGUGGCGCUCGCACACGGCCACCACCUGCCGGUACUGCUCGUGCUGCAUGUGGUAGUGCAUGAUCUGCUGGAACCUGGGGCCGGGGCAGGGCACACCUCAGCGGCUGCCCCCGGAAAUCUGGACCCUGCCCCCUUCCCAGAAGUUUCCCCACAUCUUACAGCUUCCCCUGUUCAUAGAGGUAAAGGACCCCAUCCUGGAAGUCGUGCAUCUGGCAGAGGACCAGGGCCUUGUCAAAGACGUCGCAAAAGCGGCCGCUCUUCAGCAGGGAGAUGGCCUCUGCAUGAAGCUUCUCUUUGACCUGGGGAAGGAGGAGAGAGCUUCUGGCCAGAAGGGCAAAAUCACAGGGUCUCUUGGAACGAGGCAAAUCAACUACCUCUUCAACCGCCUCUUCACGGGGGACCACUUAGCGCCCAGGGGUGACGUGUUACUGGUCUACAGAAAGUGGCAAAAGGCAACCACAGAAGGUGGAAGAACGGUCUUUCCCCCAGCACCUCCCCAGCUUUGCCAGGCCUCACCUGUGGAUCUUUCUCGUGGGCCCAGUUCUGCAGUCGCAGCUCCAGCAGCGUGUCAUAGAUGCCCUGUGGUGAGUCGGGCUGGACUUCACUCAUGUGUUCCAGGAAAGCUUUCAACUCUCGAGGGUUGUUAGCGAAGAUGGGGAUGAACUCCUCUGAGUUGGCCUGGGAUGGGGAGGGGGGAGGGAGGAGGCGGAGUGAAUGGGCGUGGUACCCUUGAGGCCCCUGAGAUGAUCCCUGCUCUCCAAAAGCCAUUCUCCCUGAGGUCUCACCCUGCAGCCUGGAACCUCCCGAUCGCCUCGGCCUUCGAGGCUAGGCUGGUAGUCCGUACAGAGUCCUUUCAGCAGCUGGGUCGUCUGCUCUGGUAUAUGAUGCAUGAGGAUCUUGCCGUAGCGUUUCAUGUUGCUCUCAGCUUGCUCAAAAGGCAGCUUGCCGAUAUACCGCAGGGCUUCCUGAUAAUUCUGUGCAGAAGUAAAGGGCAGAGGAAGGCUGUGCUCCUGCCUCACCUACCAGGACGCACUCUCAUCAUUCCGAGAAUGUCCUAGAAAAAGAACAGGUCUCUGUCUCACUUACCUUGAUGUCCUCUAGCUGGAUCUUUAAGUACCAUUCGUGAUGUGCAUGGUUCUCAGCCAAAUAGAGGGCAUGGGAGUAGUAGCCAGCCUGCCGGAGGACCUUGAUGGCUGUCUCCACAUCAAAGUGGACUUCACUCUCGCUCUUUGUCUGCCAGGGAAACAUUAGACAAAAUCAUUCACAGAAACGGGGUUGGGGAAGGGAGAAGAAACAUGCAUCUGAAUCUAAGAGCAGAUUCUUCUUCCUUUUUUUUUUUUUUUUUUUUUUAAAGUAAGCUCUAGACCUAAUGUGGGGCUUGAACUCAUGACCCAGAUAUCAAGAGUCACAUGCUCUGCUGACUGAGCUAGCCAGACGCCCCCAGAUUCUUAAGGUAACAACAAAGUCAAGGCCAGGAUGGUGGAGGACCAAAAAAAAAA
Molecule: long non-coding RNA, 4610 nt
Organism: Ailuropoda melanoleuca (giant panda)
Lineage: Eukaryota; Metazoa; Chordata; Mammalia; Carnivora; Ursidae
Exons: 2
Source: RefSeq, a predicted model, not a curated record